UCAAUUAACACAUCUAACCUACUCAUUU
Molecule: non-coding RNA, 28 nt
Filed under: Bombyx mori (domestic silkworm)
Lineage: Eukaryota; Metazoa; Arthropoda; Insecta; Lepidoptera; Bombycidae
Source: RNAcentral